Long non-coding RNA from Cygnus olor (mute swan), 1408 nucleotides. RefSeq lists it as uncharacterized. The record is from RefSeq and is a predicted model, not a curated record. Lineage: Eukaryota; Metazoa; Chordata; Aves; Anseriformes; Anatidae. The transcript is spliced from 3 exons.
CAACUUGGUCUGAUCAGUGAACAGAAGCUUCGCUAAUUCAGCUGUAGCGACAGCGCCGUGUGCCAGUGGGUGCUGGGGAAGGACCUACAGCCCCACGAGGAAAAUGUGGCAACGUUCUUAGCUGCCCAGCAGGAAUGAGCACACUUUGGUUAAGACUUUGUGCACCUUGCUGUAUAUCCUACAGAAAUUUUUUUUGAUGAAAAAUGUCAUCUUUAAAUGGAUGAGGAGAAAAGGACAGUCCAAGCUAGUAAUACAAGCAGCUAAUGCUGCUCACUAGUCUCUAGACAGGUCUCCUUGUCAUGCCUGAUCCUUGGAGAGCUUGGAUUUAGUAAGGACCUCUUGUGGUCACAGUUCUUCAGUCUUUGAGUAACUAUGGACUCUUCUUUGCCGCUGGACAUUUGGUCUUGUACUGACUAUGUGUCCUCGGCACCCAAGGGGAUGUCUCCAUGGUAUCUCCACCAUGUCUUUGAAGAGGCACUAUUACCUUGCUAUCCUCCUUCCCUUACAUCUGCAGAAACUAAUGGGGCACACUUAUUCCAGAAAAGGGCCAGUGCGUCUUCAGCAGUGAAGCUUUUCCCACCCUGAGCAACUUCCAGACGGGGUGUUUUCCAUUUCAUUGACAUUAUCUGGAUGCUGACAAAAUGAAGAUCAUUUCUGGCGAAGGAAAUGACAGAUUAAAUUACGGCUGGUUGGCUGUUUCAAGUUCUGUUCCAGGAGCUGCUGCGAGCACUGGGAAGCACUGGUCCUGGGCAGCAGCUGCACAGCUGGUAGCCACAUUUGUGCUGCAGGCACGCUUUGAAGGACAGCGGCAGUAGAAGACCAGCAUGCGUAGUGGAGUGGGAGGUGUUCAGCAUCUGUACCUGCUCCGCUACCUUCAGAGGCCCAGUAACUUCGGUGGCUGCAUGAAGGCAUUGCAGAUUCAAGAAGUAUGAGAGGCAAGUGGAAGCUUUGGCCCCGUUCUCAGACAACAUAUGCUGGAGACAAUAGAAUCUUCUCAGAAAAGGAAGGCGAUUAUUGCAGUUUUCUAGCCAACAAUUACCUUGCUCUUAUAAAUUAUGUUGAUGUCCAUAACACACAUUGCUGAGCAUGUGAUAGGAGUCGUGGGCUGCCACUGACUUCCCUGCUGAUGCCUGAUAUGCUGCUCGUAAACCGUUUUGUUUAUCGUGGGGUACAAAGGUGUUCUAUUAAACGAGAUUGGCCUCAAAAUCAGAUACUGUGCUGUCCCUGUGUCCCCUUGCUUUAUCUGUAAUAUUCUGCUGCAAGUCAAAGCUGUAGCCAGUUAGAUUUCACUGUCUUAAUCUAACAUUUGCAAAUGGUGCCAGCCAAAAAGCCAUUUGUGUGGGCAAGUUUGCCAAGAUUUACUUAAGAAUUUUUAUAAAGAAUGAGUACAGUACCAAAAAUGUAGUUU